GGCCUCUUGCAACCCUCAAAUAAGAGGUCCAACCUGCCCAGUGACAAUAAGUUUAACGGCCGCGGUAUUUUAACCGUGCUAAGGUAGCGUAAUCACUUGUCUUUUAAAUGAAGACCCGUAUGAAAGGUGUCACGAGGGCCCUCCUGUCUCCUACUUCAAGUCUGUGAAAUUGAUCUGCCCGUGCAGAAGCGGGCAUUAUAACAUAAGACGAGAAGACCCUGUGGAGCUUAAGACCCACCAACCAAUCGUGCCUAACAGCUUAUCCCCCCUAACAGGAAAUAAAAAGCUAAGCAAGCACAACGACCUCUGGUUGAACUGUCUUCGGUUGGGGCGACCAUGGGGGACAGAAAAGCCCCCAAGAGGAAGCAGGGGACCAGUUUAACCGAUCCCUAAGAGCCAAGAGACACCACUCUAAGCAACAGAAAUCUUUGACCAAUAAUGACCCAGGCACCAGCCUGAUCAACGAACCAAGUUACCCCAGGGAUAACAGCGCAAUCCUUUCCCAGAGCCCAUAUCGCCGAAAGGGUUUACGACCUCGAUGUUGGAUCAGGACAUCCUGGUGGCGAAAAUUCUACCAAGGGUUCGUUUGUUCAACGAUUAAAGUCCU
This 607-nucleotide ribosomal RNA is filed under the name Stomatorhinus sp. AMNH228158. RNAcentral's name for it is "partial 16S ribosomal RNA". It matches the Rfam family "Bacterial large subunit ribosomal RNA", at positions 1817 to 2597 of the family's 2925-position model. Lineage: Eukaryota; Metazoa; Chordata; Actinopteri; Osteoglossiformes; Mormyridae. The record is from RNAcentral.